Molecule: small nuclear RNA, 129 nt
Filed under: Marchantia polymorpha subsp. ruderalis
Lineage: Eukaryota; Viridiplantae; Streptophyta; Marchantiopsida; Marchantiales; Marchantiaceae
Description: U4 spliceosomal RNA
Rfam family: U4 spliceosomal RNA
About the family: U4 small nuclear RNA (U4 snRNA) is a component of the major U2-dependent spliceosome. The structure of U4 snRNA from yeast and human has been reported. U4 snRNA presents a k-turn RNA motif in the 5p-SL related to recognition of Snu13 protein.
Source: Rfam by way of RNAcentral
AUCUUUGCGCUUGAGGCAAUGACGCAGUUAGUGAGGUGAAACCGAGACGCGUCAAUUGCUAGUUGAAAAUUAUUUCCAUUUCUGUUUUCUCUCUGUUGAAUGAAACAGUCCAAGUUUACUUCAUGAUGU